CACGAUUUGUCUUCGCGGGCCACAUAAAAUGAUGUGGCGGGCCGUAUCUGGCCCCCGGGCCUUGAUUUGACACGUGCUCUAAGUGCUAAACAAGUGAAGCCCAUUUGCUGUUCUAUGAAAGUAUAGCCUAGCCUAGCACGGCCUCGCCUCGUGCUUCAUUUUCUUCAUCUUCAUCUGCUUCUUGUGCUGCUUCUUAGCUCACUCCUGUUCAAAAUUGGUCACGGGCGUCACUUGUGCCAACAGCAGCUCAUGUACACUUGGUGGUCUUGGCUUCAGCCACCCGGCGCAUUGUUGCCAGUAUUUGCAUAUAUUGUAAGUCUGCGUGUGUGUGUCUGUGUGUGUGCGUGCAUGCGUGUGUGUCUAUGUGUGUGUGUGUGUGUGUGUGAGAGCCCACCGACGCAGAAAGCCCAGAUGGGAUGAGGGAUCAUAUUCUCGAUUAAAAACGACACGAGCCGCAGAGAAAUUCUCUUUGCGUGUAUGCGUGUGCGCAAAGUGCCACAUGUUGGUUUUGUCGCAGUGCACGCACACACAUACACACACGCACACGCCCAGUUAGGUAAAGCUCAGCUCUCAUUUCCUGAACAAGUUGAUAAAUUCCAGAUCUCCUCAGCUGGUCCGCCUGCACAUAUGCACGCACGCACAAUCUGCUGCUGUUGCCGCUUCUUGUGGGCCAGAGAGAGAAACGUGUGCACAUUGGUCGCAAUUAACCUUUAAUGAAGAAGGCAGGCAAGGGGCGGAGCCAUAGACGAACAAUCCUCCGUGUGUCUCGGCCAUUGGAGGGCUCGUUGGAGGCCAAUAUGUCAUUCUUUCUUAUUGAAUCAUUAUUAUUAUUAUUACUGUCCAUCUGUCGGUCCGUCGGUCCAUCCAUCCAUCCAUCCAUCCAUCCAUCCAUCCAUCCAUCCAUCCAUCCAUCCAUCCAUCCAUCCAUCCAUCCAUCCAUCCAUCCAUCCAUCUCAGGGAAGCCACCAAAUCAGCAACUUGUUGUCAUCUUUGCAUUUUCCUGGACAGCUUUUGGUGACAUUUUGCGUUCUUAGUCUCCAGCCCCGCCUCGCGCACCCCGCGGCCACUAAACGGGCUUUAUUGUAGCGUGACUUUUCUUUUGAUUACAGGAAGGUCUCACUUUACUCGUCACUCGGUAGCGUGGCGGAUCGCGUUACCCACCGGGAGUGCAUCUGAGUGCAAAUGCGUGCUCAGAGACAAGCUUGCCUAUUACCCACUAGAAGACGUUUGGACUUGAAACCGAGGCCUUGUCUGCAGUUUUCACUUUACAUUCGCUUGAUUCAUUUAGGCUUCAUUUGUAAAUACUCUGAAAAGUUUGUUUACUCACUCUGCACCACUGCCAAAUGGUGUUCCACAGGGUUCAGUUAAGGGGGCCCUGCUGUUUUCGUUGUUUUUGCUAAACCUGGAUUCCAUCUUAAGGAACCUUGGUAUUUCCUUUCACUGUCAUACAGAUGACCAAAAAAAAGACGUUUUCUCCUUAACGUUACUUUUGUUCUGUCUGCAGGAAAUCAAACACUGGAUGGCAUUAAACGCCUUAAUCCAAAUGGUAAUAUAGCAGGUCAAUAGCAAGCUAGUUGGUCAGUGGCUGCCUCUAACAGCAACUGAGUGGAUGUGUCCGCUAUCCAUUUCCUCUUCUGCCGAGCUGACCUUGUUCCUCGCCAACUUCUCCCGACGGUCUCCAAUGCUCUUCGUCCGUCUUUGCAGCUUUACGUUUCCCUCCUCCCGCAUCCUCGCCAGUUGUGCCUCUGCAGCUGGCCGCGUUUUAAAAGUUGUGGUCCCGGCCGGCGCAGGUAUGUUUGAACCAAAAUCCCCCUCCUCUUCUCUCCGGGCGACAGGCCAGCGGCCGCGUCUCACUCGACACCCUUUUUUUUUUGUUGACCACACAUGGGAGAGCGAGUGUUUUCUGUUACUCUUGGACGCCGCUUUUCCUUUUGCCCCGUCUGUCUGCGCCGCACGUCUGACGAAAACGGCGACCCCAUUUUUCCGAGGCGAAGUGCAAGUUCUGGCAAGGCCGCCGCGCACCGCCUACACGCGCACCGAGCGCCUCAGUGCAGCGGCAAAUAUUUCACUUUGUCUGUUUGCCCAAACAAACUGCUCGACAAGAAGCGACGUUUUACAUUGCGGCGGCAGGGCCAUGCGAGCUGAUUGGCCGCUGGUCACGGUGGUCCCCUGAUGAAGCCGAUCAGCAGCCCACUUUGAUGUCACCCCGCAAAGGUCGGCCCGAGUGAAGUCGAGAGCGCUCGCUGAUCGAUGAAACACGACGCCUGCUUUGAGCCAACGUCAUCGGUGGCCGGCUCGGGAGAAAUCUGACCUUUUGCCUCACGCGCCCCAGGUUCAUGAGUAUUCACGGCAUCCAAAGUGAAAGACGCCUGGAUGAGUCUGGAAGUGGCUUCAUCUCCGCUUCUUCCUCUGAGCCCCUCGUGGUGCUCGUAUCAGGUGGAACGCUCGCUGCAGGACUUCCAGCGUCGCUCGAGUCCCCCGAUGGAGCAUAGGCUUCGGCGACAUCUUGCAGCAAUCAGCCGAAUCGGCGAAAGGUCGCGGCGGAGGGCCGAGCGGCGGGAGGUUGUGAAAACAGGCGGCGGGACUAUUAAGGGAAAGGCGAGCUGCAUUCAUCAGUGCUGGCAAUAAUUCCUCCUCAAGAGUUUUGAUCAGGCUUCGUUUGUGGCCAAGAGAUGUUUACAAACACUGUCAGGGGCCCCGACAAGCCACCCUGGGGUGCUCCGUUGCACUCGCCCCACCAUCUUUGUCGGUGUCCCCACUAUUCAUUUGGAAUAUUUUUUGAUUGGUUACGUUUUUUGUUGCGACAACUAAAUAGGUUUAGGCCAAUGAAUUUGGAAAAUGAUGCCAUGUGGAGACAUUUUAAUUUUCAACAGUGUGGACAGGAGAGCCUUUUUAAAAAAGUGAUUUCAUGAUAUAUUACUAUUGUGUGCAUUGUUGUCCCCAUUAAUAUUAUUGUUAGCUGUGUUUGAUCACUAAACUUGUUUCAAAAUGUGCUCUACUACUCUAAGCUUGAAAUGAUUUCCAAGUACGACUUUCUUCUUGUCUUUGAUUGGCUAAAAUGGAUAGUUUUGUUUGUCACAAGACAACCUGCUCUUUUGUUUUUUGCUUGUGUUCGAGUUUGAAUUCCGUUGGUAAGGAAGGAUUACCAAAUUUCGUAUAAUUAAAUGAAACUUUUGGAUUUA
Molecule: long non-coding RNA, 3182 nt
Organism: Syngnathus acus (greater pipefish)
Lineage: Eukaryota; Metazoa; Chordata; Actinopteri; Syngnathiformes; Syngnathidae
Exons: 4
Source: RefSeq, a predicted model, not a curated record